CAGCGAACUCUUAACCAGCCGGCGAUCAAAUUAACUCUUUUCCAAAUCGCCGACCACUAAGCAAUUCCAGUUUUUGAUUGAGCGGCAAUUCACUAAACAUGGUCAAAGCUGGCCAUAUUAUACUUUUGACUCAGCUUUUGGUCAUUGCGAACGGG
Molecule: long non-coding RNA, 155 nt
Organism: Drosophila innubila
Lineage: Eukaryota; Metazoa; Arthropoda; Insecta; Diptera; Drosophilidae
Exons: 3
Source: RefSeq, a predicted model, not a curated record